UUUUCCCUCUUUCUUUAGGCCUAACACAUGCAAGUCGAACGGCAGCACAGUAAGAGCUUGCUCUUACGGGUGGCGAGUGGCGGACGGGUGAGGAAUACAUCGGAAUCUACUUUUUCGUGGGGGAUAACGUAGGGAAACUUACGCUAAUACCGCAUACGACCUACGGGUGAAAGCAGGGGAUCUUCGGACCUUGCGCGAUUGAAUGAGCCGAUGUCGGAUUAGCUAGUUGGCGGGGUAAAGGCCCACCAAGGCGACGAUCCGUAGCUGGUCUGAGAGGAUGAUCAGCCACACUGGAACUGAGACACGGUCCAGACUCCUACGGGAGGCAGCAGUGGGGAAUAGUGGACAAUGGGCGCAAGCAUGAUCCAGCCAUACCGCGUGGGUGAAGAAGGCCUUCGGGUUGUAAAGCCCUUUUGUUGGGAAAGAAAAGCAGCAGGUUAAUACCCCGCUGUUCUGACGGUACCCAAAGAAUAAGCACCGGCUAACUUCGUG
Molecule: ribosomal RNA, 492 nt
Filed under: uncultured bacterium
Lineage: Bacteria
Description: partial 16S ribosomal RNA
Rfam family: Bacterial small subunit ribosomal RNA
Source: RNAcentral